Molecule: ribosomal RNA, 253 nt
Filed under: uncultured bacterium
Lineage: Bacteria
Description: partial 16S ribosomal RNA
Rfam family: Bacterial small subunit ribosomal RNA
Source: RNAcentral
AACGUAGGAACCGAGCGUUAUCCGAAUUUACUGGGCGUAAAGCGUGUGUAGGCGGUUCGGUAAGUUGGAUGUGAAAUCUCCUGGCUCAACUGGGAGAGGUCGUUCAAUACUGUCGAACUUGAGGGUGGUAGAGGGAGGUGGAAUUCCCGGUGUAGUGGUGAAAUGCGUAGAUAUCGGGAGGAACACCAGUGGCGAAAGCGGCCUCCUGGACCAUUCCUGACGCUCAGACACGAAAGCUAGGGGAGCAAACGGG